This is a long non-coding RNA of Passer domesticus (house sparrow), 194 nucleotides long. RefSeq lists it as uncharacterized. Lineage: Eukaryota; Metazoa; Chordata; Aves; Passeriformes; Passeridae. The record is from RefSeq and is a predicted model, not a curated record. The transcript is spliced from 3 exons.
GGCUUGUUCCUUGAGUCAGGAAUGAGCACUGGACACUUAUCACACGGAGCUCUGUUUUACAGCCUCUUCUGACAGGCAAUCUUCUGUGUGAAAGACAGAGAGGCCAAGGUCAGUAAUAGGCAAUCACUGUCCAUCACAUUAAAGAAUGGCUGCCACAAGCAGACUGGAGUCAAGGCUUGUGCAGGGGAAUUGCA